UACGUAGGGUGCAAGCGUUGUCCGGAAUUAUUGGGCGUAAAGAGCUCGUAGGCGGUUUGUCGCGUCUGCUGUGAAAACGCGAGGCUCAACCUCGCGCCUGCAGUGGGUACGGGCAGACUAGAGUGCGGUAGGGGAGAUUGGAAUUCCUGGUGUAGCGGUGAAAUGCGCAGAUAUCAGGAAGAACACCCGUGGCUAAGGCGGCUCUCUAGUACGGUACUGACGCUGAGACGCGAAAAGCGUGGGGGAGCGAACAGG
Molecule: ribosomal RNA, 255 nt
Filed under: uncultured bacterium
Lineage: Bacteria
Description: partial 16S ribosomal RNA
Rfam family: Bacterial small subunit ribosomal RNA
Source: RNAcentral